RNAcentral lists this long non-coding RNA (522 nucleotides) under Mytilus galloprovincialis (Mediterranean mussel). The record is from RNAcentral. Lineage: Eukaryota; Metazoa; Mollusca; Bivalvia; Mytilida; Mytilidae.
AUCGAAAUCAGUAUUUGAUUGGUCAAGACUAGCCCACGUGAUAUUGAUUCAAACCCCAUAAUUGAUCAGAGUAUUAAAUUCGCCUCUUUACAUUGGGACUUCCUUGUGUGAUGUUGCGAGCCGUUAAUGUACAUAGCUUUCUGAAUAUUGACCAAUAGCAAGCGUUUUGAAUAUUUAAAACAUUAACUGUCGAGAGUGGAUAAAAAUAGUAUUUCACAAGAUUUGGUGGUGGGAUCUUUAUCUCUAAUGAUUUCUUUACAAUAUAUGCAGGAAAACUUAUUCCUUCUUUUCAAGUGAUCUACAAAAAAGGUUUUCUUUCUAUGAGAUGUUAUCAGACUUGGUUGUCUUUUUUCAUGCCACCACAAUAGGAAAUUCAAGGGAAAAGAAGAAAAUUCGACGCGAAAAUCGAAUUUUGACCAUUAAAUAACCAGCUGAGAUCAACAAACUACAAAAGUAAAAUCACAAAAAUACUAAACUCGGAGGAAAAUUCAAAACGGAAAGACCCUAAUCAAAUAAUAAAAC